This is a long non-coding RNA of Gallus gallus (chicken), 716 nucleotides long. RefSeq lists it as uncharacterized. Lineage: Eukaryota; Metazoa; Chordata; Aves; Galliformes; Phasianidae. The record is from RefSeq and is a predicted model, not a curated record. The transcript has 2 exons.
CUUAAAGGACUUGAAUGAGGUAUCAGGUGAUGGAUAGGUACUCUGAAUACGGGAAUAAUUCCUGAUGAGGUGUUUUAAUAGCCUUGUUUUCAUUUCUGAAAUUCCCUCUAACUAGAUGCUUAUCAAUAGAAUUUGGACUCCGUGUCUCACAGCUUAUUCUUAAGUAGAUCUUUUGGCCAUAGAUAAAUUAAAUAACUCAGGUGCAUCAAAGGACUGUAUUUAGCACCAAAAAGUCUUGGUUGGUAAAAUGCCUUUGUAAGCUUCUUUAUAACUCAAAUAACUUUAUAUUAGCAUAUUUCACUUUCGAUGACCUUCAAUACUCUCUCAGGAUCCUGGAAGACAGAUGAAGACUGGAUUCAACAAGAUUACCAAGUUGGAUAACUAUUACUGCUCGGAGCAAUUAUGAAGCCUAUCACUUCUAUUACCAUCUUCCACAGUGUUACAAGAUUAGACUUCGAUGUGACAAGAGGAGGUCAAGGAGGCAGAAGUACUGAGAUCACAAGGAAACUGUCUUUUGUCUGUGAUGCAGAAGAUGAGGUACACGUUGCUACGAAUGGCACUUCCUCUCAGCCCUUCUGGAGACAGUCAUAAGGAUAGGAAUAUCACCUUUCGAUAUCUGAGCUGUAUGCUUGAAUUUUCUUUUCACAUCUCUCCAGUUUCAAGAAGAACCCAAGUGAAUCACGCUGUCUGGCUAUAAAAAGAGAAACUGAAAGAAA